Molecule: ribosomal RNA, 404 nt
Filed under: uncultured bacterium
Lineage: Bacteria
Description: bacterial SSU rRNA
Rfam family: Bacterial small subunit ribosomal RNA
Source: RNAcentral
UGGGGAAUAUUGGACAAUGGGGGCAACCCUGAUCCAGCCAUGCCGCGUGAGUGAUGAAGGCCUUCGGGUUGUAAAGCUCUUUUGGUGGGGACGAUGAUGACGGUACCCACAGAAUAAGCUCCGGCUAACUUCGUGCCAGCAGCCGCGGUAAUACGAAGGGAGCUAGCGUUGUUCGGAGUUACUGGGCGUAAAGGGCGCGUAGGUGGUUUGGCAAGUUAGGUGUGAAAGCCCAGGGCUCAACCCUGGAAUAGCACUUAAGACUGCCUUACUUGAAUUCGGUAGAGGUGAGUGGAAUUCCCAGUGUAGAGGUGAAAUUCGUAGAGAUUGGGAAGAACACCCGUGGCGAAGGCGGCUCACUGGACCGACAUUGACACUGAGGCGCGAAAGCGUGGGGAUCAAACAGG